CAAGAAUCGAUCAGUGCCUUAUUAUACGCCGGAGGUGGGGGAAGGGGAAACCAGAUGACAGGCGCCGCCGGCGUAGCCUCCCGCCGAUGGGCCGGACGGCGGCGAAGUUUUUGGAUGGAAUAAGCCUCAAACAAGGACGGGAGCCGCCUGCAUUCUGCUCUACUGAGUCGAGACUCGAGAGAUGGUAGAGGAGGAGGAAUCUUAACUCGGAAGCCGUCUGGAGAAAUGGGAAGGCGGAGCGCAAGCAAGAUCGUCGAUCUGCCCGCCUCCAAGAGGAGAUCUGUGGAACAUAAAACCUGCCGUUGGUUUCAAGAAAUAACAUGGAACCAUGCUUGCCAAAUUUUGCCAAGUAAGUUCGCCAGCAGAUGCUUGUUGUCAGCUAGAAGGUUGGCCGUUGGAGGUCACACUGGAUGACUAAUUUCUGGUAUUCUCCAAGAGCCCAUAUAGGAAAUAUGUUGCGAUAAGCCAUGUAGCAUAAGGGGCCAUUUUUCAAGAAACUUCCAAUCAUUUCCUGCAUCACAAAAAACCAAAUUGUUACAUGGAUACUAGAAGUGGGGCAAUCCUAGAACAGAGAAAAGGGAAAAUAAAGGAACUGCAUUGCAAAUAGCCAAAUAUCAUACUGAAAGUUCCAAGUUUAUGUUAUGAAUUCUAUCACUUGUGAACUGUGAGUAAAUAACAUGGAAAUUCAAGACUUAAAGGUAGUUGUAAUAACUCAUAAUGCAAGUAUAGUACCUCCUGUGGAAAGUCACCAUUGCCCAGCUGCAUGCUCAUGAUAAGUCUUGCUGCUUUGUGCAGUGGAGCAGGAUCUCUUUCCACCUUAACUCAGAAGAAACGUUGAAACACUUUCAAAUAAUGAACUAGAUCUGAACGUUUAAAUUAAUACUACAUAUUGUUUGAAUUAUUUUGGAUCAAAUAUGUGCUUUCCUGGUUGUCCAUUAAAUCGAGCGUACUUUUAAAUAAGUCAUCACCUGUCCAGCUUUCAUGAGUGCCAACAUUGCCCAUGCAGUGUUCACUAUAUGUGACUUCUCCCCAUCCAGAUUCGUGUAUGCCUGUUUGUAUUUUUAAUAUGCACUCAGUCUCUUGAAUUGAGUUGCAGCAAUGCAAGACAAUGUCAAAGAAAAUAAAUCUUCACCGUAAAUAUCAGUCACAGUAAUCUCUCUGAAAGCAAAUGAUGCAUAACGGCUUCACUCUCUUUUUUGGGUGAGGAAAAGAUCUAUACUGCCUCUAAUCAGCAAAACUUCAGUGUUUUUUUUUUUCAUUUUCAAUUAUCAAAGGUACACAUGAAAUUAAUGGAAAGAUGUAUUACAAAUCAUGGUCCUGUUGCCAUGCAAUUGCAUGCAUAUUUUCUAGCCUUUUGCAUCGGUUGUUUCAGUUUCUCCAAAUAAGCCUGAUAGCUACGUCUGAUAUUGGUAAUUGAUGUUCCUAAUGAAGUUACAAUCUGGUAAAAGAUAACAGAAAAAACAGUUCUUCUUUUUAACAUUUUUGAAGUAAAAUUGUAACAGGAACAAAGCAUGUUUUCAUUGUCAGGAUGUAUUGCUCACUCAAAAUGUGGAAAGUUACAGUCCAUAUACAUAACAAAGCAUUCCACAAAUGAUUACCUUGGUUCUGGACGAAAGAUGACUCUCACCCCAUCCACCAUUGCAUAGCUGCUUUGACAACAGGAACUUACAGGUCUUCCUAAUGCAGGUGCUGUUACCAUAAUUCUGUCCAAUAGCCGAUAGACCCUCUAUAGCAAACCAUGUACCAUAUGUGAAACAAAUACCCCAAGAUCCAAACCUGUAAAGCAGGUCAAUGAUUAUCUGUUUCUCAAUUUUGUAUUGUUUUUAGCAAUGUUUUAAAGCACAACAUGACAUUGUUUUAUUUUAUCAUCAACAUCUUAUUUGAUUUUCUAUAUUAAACAUUGCGACUUUUUAUAAUUUGGUUAGCAACCAAUUCUUGAGAAUUUGUAUUUAUGCAGUAAUACAGUAGUAAAACCUUGCUAUUUUCUCAUCUGCGUAAGUGUAUUUAUUGAAGUCUGCGACUUAUGGAAAGUUUGUGGCUGAAUUGUCAUCUCGCUGAAUACCAGGCUAUUGUGGGACUAGGUACUUUAGUUGCUGGGGCUGUCCUGGGGAUACUGUUUCGUAGAUCUAGGUUUUACAGUCUCAGAACUGCAAAGUAAUGUGUAAAAUUUAAACCUUUAUCCUUUGAUUCUUAGUUCUUACUGCUCCGUAGCUCUUUAAAAUUGAUAUUAAUUAAGAACUCCUAUUUUUUCUGGUCAUGUUUUUAGGGGUACUGACCAUGAGCCAUCAUCAUGCUGUAACUUCUCAAUGAAUUCUGUAGCUCUCCUAAUACAUUGAUCAAUUUCAUCUUUCCGAUGCCCAGGGCACUUCUCAUGAAAUAGUACGAGCGCUUGGAUGACUGAUGAGGUACACUCGACGUACCUGCAUUUUGGAAUGCAUGGAAUUUCAGUCAUUGGAGAGUUACAGAUAAGAAAGGUUGUAGAUUCUUACUGAUGCUCCACCAUGAUGUCUGCGUAUAUUUCUGUCAUGUUGAAAAUCUGCCAUGAAAUAGAUCCAAAUCCUCAUUAUUCAAUGCUCAAAAUGUGUACGAGUAUUAUUUAGGCUCUGCAAUACUAGACUCCUUAAGAAAACUAUUUUUUUUUGUGCACACGAGAUGCCAGGUAAAUUGCCUUAAAAAUUAUGUCCUUCGCAUUUGGCCAUAAUUUUUUUUUGGCAAUGUACCAUUGUAUCGAUUCAUACUUUUUUUAAGGGGUCUAUCAAUUCAUACUUGAUAUGUUGGCUAUUUAGCUGCAUGCCUCCAUGGUAUUUAUGUUUUUCUUUCUUUCAUCUUGGAUUUCUUAUUACCAUCUUUACUCCUUUUCAUAUAACUUAACUGUUACUGUGCAACUUAAAGUUCUGUAGGGAUGACAUAUGACAAAUAAGUGUACAUUGUUGCCUUCACUGUGUUAAGGGUAUAAAUGUCAAUGUACCUAGUCUAGGGUUUGGGGUCUCCCUUCUUGUACUAUAUAUAGCCCAAAGGGCCUCUUCCUCAAUAUAGAUAGCAUUUCUUCCUAAUCGUAACAUGGUAUCACAGCCAUCGUUCUGAUCCGUCCACCACCCUCGUCGCCCCGCUGUGCCGUCCCCGGGAGAAUCGAUUCUUCCCUCCCGGGGGCGGCAUCCCCUCCAAGCCCCAAACCCAUUUUUUUCCCCUAGUCGUCGAGUUGUAGCAGCAGCCUCCGUUCGUCACCCGCCGUCGUCGAUAUGCUCGCGGGAGGGGAGCAGCCGCCCCUGUCCGUCAUGGAUCCAUUGCCGCCGUCCUCUGUCCGCCGCCCGUUGCGGUGGAUCCAUCCGCACCGUUGCGCGGCACCUGUCAGCGCCGUCCCCGUCCGCGCCGUCGUCCUCAUCGCCGCCUGUCGCAGAGCCGGCCAUCCGCCCGUCGCGGCGGCCUCCGCCGUCGCGGAUCCGCCCGUUGCAGAGCCGCCGGCCCCCUGUUCGCUACUCCUACGCCGUCCCUGCUCGUCCGCUCUAUCCACGGCCGCCCGCCGAGGGAGGGGGUGGUCGAGCUGCACUUCAAGUGGAGAGGGGGAGCUGCACGUCGCAGCUCGUCUUCCUCUCCCAGUUGCGGCUCGUCCCGGCGUGGAUCCGCCGCCGUCGCGGCCUCCCUGCGAUGCCGCGCAUCGCGGCCUCCCUGCGCCGCCGCCCGUCGCGGCCUCCUACGCCGCCGCCCGUCGCGGACCGUCCGCUCGUCGCGGCCUCCCUCCUUGCCGCUCGUCGCGGCCUCCUGCGCCGCUUGUCGCGGACCGUCCUCCCGUCGCUGCUCCUCUUGGCGCCGCCGCCCGUCGCGGCUCCUCCUAGCGCCGCCCGCCACGGCCAUCUGCGGCCGGCCGUCCGCCCGUCGGGAGCAGCGGCCGCCGGCUUCUGCAGCCGCCAUCUUCAGUCCGCGGCGUCCGUCCAGCGCCGCCCGUCCGCCCGCCGUCGCGGCUCCUCCGCCCCGCCUCCAUCUCCGCUCGCCCGUCGCGGAGCUCGUCCCCGCCCAUCCGGCUCCUCUUCGCGCGCCUCUGUUCGAGCUGCCAGUCACCCCUCGUCAUCAUGCUGUGCGGUGCGGUGCUCUGUUCUGCUACUUGUAGCAGCUGCUGCUGGUGGCCCGUUCUGAAAUUGAUCUCGCACAUGCAGCUGCUGGUGGUAUUGCUUUGUUUUGUUGCACUUGCAUCUGCAUCCAUGCCAAUCCAAAUCCAAUUUCAUUGCUUCGUAAUUCUGCUGCUUGCUUAUGCGUGCUGCUGCUAGUGUGCGGCUGUGCUGCUCUACUCAUCUGCUCCUAUGGUCGGCUCAUCUGCUCAUAUGGUCGGCUGUCCAUCCAUAUCAUCUUUUGCUUGUUGCUUGCUGCUGCUUGCAUCCAUCAUCAGAUUUUGCUUGUACCUGCUGCUAUCUUAGUCAUAAUUGUCUAGUUAUGUCGUAUCCAUCCAAGUCAGUAUCAAUCCAAGUCCAUUACGCAUUUUCAGGUCGUCAAUGCCGUGCGAGUCCACAAAUUCAUUGUCAGAUCAGUCAAUUUUUUUUAUGGUUAGCUGAGUCCCGUCGAUUUAGCUAAUCUCAUCAUCAUCAUUGUGGUGCGACAAUGCCCUCUUGGUCCCUUUCGGAGCCGUCUUGCUCCACGUCAUGAUCAAUGGCCGUCUAUUUGUCGUCAUCACCUUCCUGUCUCACCACUUGUCGUCUUGCAGUGGUGCUUUCUAUCUUUGGCUGGUUUUGCACAUCUCACUGUUCUUGUCGUGUUCAAAGUCUCCAAAGCAAGACUCAUGUUUGAGGAGUCGACGUACUGGUUUGUGAAGACUUGGGCUAUUCGCUGAAGUACGGUUGUGAAGGCGACACCCUCUUGUGGAGGAGAUUCUCAUCUACAUCGACAUGUUCAAGAGUUGCACGCUUCGACGACAUCUUUCAUUUCGGACUUUGGAUGUAUCAUUUUCAUGUUUAUGUUUACUCUAGUGCUUAGUAUCAACUCUCCAAAUGCAACGUCAUUGCAUUCGCGUUGCAUUUGAGAGGGGGUGUUAAGGGUAUAAAUGUCAAUGUACCUAGUCUAGGGUUUGGGGUCUCCCUUCUUGUACUAUAUAUAGCCCAAAGGGCCUCUUCCUCAAUAUACAGAUAGCAUUUCUUCCUAAUCGUAACACACUGCAAUAAUCCUAUUGUUCCUAAUUGUUCCUAAGUAUGCCUCGUGAUCUGCAAAUAAACGCCAAAGCUGCUAUAGUUCAUUUACGUUCCCAAAGCAAGAAAUUCUGAGCUAACAUAAUUGCUUUCAGAUAUCUUGUGAUCAGAAUAGUACUGAAUACCUAACAUCCUAAACCAAACAAUAGGAAAUACAAUAUACAGUAUAUGCUAGUAAUAUGUAAUGAUAGUGCUAAUUAAUAAGUCAAGCAGAAACCAGGAGCAUACCUCCAUCCAUGGAUAUGUGCGAGCUAGUUCCCAAGUUCCAUAGCCACCAUUUGGGUUCUGUAUCAAUUCAGGGGUCAAAUCUGGUUACCCCAUUGCUUUUCUUGGCAUAUAUUUCAACCAUUAUGCUUUGCCUUUUAUUUUCAGUACAGUAUGCUGUUCAAAAUAUCUGUAUAGACUGUUUGCAUAUAUUUUUUGAGUGUACGAUAAUCAUUUGCUAACGAGGAAAUUUGCAUCACUGCAUUUGCAUGCUACAUUAGAUUUUAUUGUAACUUACAUUGCUUAAUGGUAAUUAACAGCAGCUAGAGCUGUUUUGUUUUCGCUGAGGGGAAAACACGGGGAAGGGUACUACCAUGGAGUUACGUUAAAAAAAGGGGUACUGCUGAGGAGAUAGAAGUAUGUAGAGCUGUUUUGAUUCACAACUCUACCAUGAAACAAAAUCGUUUCAAUAUAUUGAACCUGUCUAAUAGCAUACAGAAUGCAGAGUAAAGAGUUUCAUGCCUGUAAGGAUAAUAGUACAUUCACUGCAUCAUGUAGGCGACAUGUUUCCAUCUGAUCACCUGCAAUGUCUGGUGAAAACUUUGACAGCAGCAACAAGGCCUGAAACAUGAGAGCAAAUAUCACUUUGUGUUAAUAGGUUUCUUGUUUUCCAUGUAUGGUUUGGGUCUGGAAAUGUUAUGGUGAACUGUAAGAACACUGGUGUCAGAUAUUGAACCUUAAGAGCUUCAGCUGUGCAAUCUGAAACUUGCCACCCCUGAUCUGCAACCUGGAAGGCCCACCCUCCUUUAGAUAUGUGACGGUACUUUCUGCUGAAGUCACCAGAAGGAUUGUCCAUGAUCUUAAAAUUUAAGUCAGUAGAGUUAAGCAAGUAAGUUUAUAGAAAUAUAACUGAUAGAACUACAAUUCUGGACAAUAGUACCUGGGAAGCUUUUAUAAAAUCAUGCGCUUUCUUCAGGGUAUUUUUAUAUUCUUCUGCAAUAUUACACGCUAAUAUCGCUUGAACUGCGAAAGCAACGUCCCAUAAUUGACCAGCACAGACCUUUGGAAAGCAAUGAGACAUAAACAUCAAUUUUGAUUAUGUGGUGUUGCUGCAGGUUGACAGACUGCAUAAACUUCUGGGAUAUUGUAUUCUAAAUAAAAAGAGGGUUCUAGAGAAAUAUUCAAUUACCCGCACUUUCAUGCCAUCUUCACCAACCCACAGGAAAUCCGCAACCCUAGCCAAAUGGCGCUUGAAUGCAUCUGAAUUGGGAUUUUCAAUCCAACAGCACAACAUGGAUAAUGCCUGUAAUGUUUACUCUUUGUAAGGACGUGUGCAAUAUUCAUUAGCACCAGCUAGAAUUUGAUGUGUCCAUUCAUGCAAAUGAAUAUUUCCUAAGUUUUUGUUGUACCACUUCUUCGUACUGUGCAUUACUAAGGAGUGAGUGGGUGGGUGGCUGAUUGACUGUGUAUACACAAAAUUGGUUACUAUUACUAUUCAAAACUUGGUCCCGUUUCUGCUGCUAUGUCCAAAGUUAGUUGCUGCGAGUCCCUUGUUUUAGAAGACAUAAAAGUCUUACCUUCUGUGCAGCACCAAUGCAGAUGUACUGAGAGUUCUCAUCUUCAUAUUUCAAGAACUCAGCGAUUUGUUGGAGGGCUUUCAUUCUCAUGUAGGAAACCGGCCACCGUGUGAGGAAAGGUUCACCAAAACUGUAAAGGCAGUCAGAUAGGCACUCCUGUAGCCAUGUAUGUGGAUUAUACACAUCUUCCUGCAUUUCAAUUUGUAACUUUUUCACCAAUUCUAAAAAUUAAUUUAUGAAAAAGAAAUAUACUGACAUAUUUGCAGAUUCUAGUUACAGGGACUUGAUUUAUCUGAUGUGUUUUUAUUGGGAAAUAACAUGACAUCUACAUACAAAAAGGAUGUGGCUAUUUGCAAGCACGUACAAAAAUGUUAAGUAUCCGACAAUCUAGACUGGUACAUAUAGAAAUAAUCAUCUACACUAUUUAUUUAUAUCCAAAUACUGAGUACAUCAAUCUGAAAUUAUAUAGAAUGCUUGCAUAUAUGUGUUAGAUGUUUGACAGACAGACCUUUGCACAUAAUUUGCGUGCUUGCUUCCAGUCAAUCUUUUUAUAUGGAUGAAUAUGUAGUUCUUCCCUUAAUGACAUAACCAAUUUUGUUAUGGGGCCGACAAAUUUCUUGCCAUAUAAAUAGGACAUGGGAAUGAAAGCCAUUCUGAAGUGACUCCACAAACGUCCUACAUUUGGAAGGAAAAUACACCAAUGAUGAGAUCGAGUUGGCCCUUAAGUAACUGCUAUAGAUGCUGCAAUAUUAUCAUAAAGUAUCAAAAUAACUCAAUGUUAGCAUGUAAAAGAUCUGACAGAAUUAUUUUCCUAAUACUGAGCAAAAACUUGACCAACCUAGGAGGAACUGGGUAGCAUUUAAAAAUAAGAAGAAAUUGACACCCGAAUUUGAGUCAAAGUGGGCUCGAACCUGAUGAUAGAGAUGUACAUCUAAGUGAGCUAUGCUCAGUUCCUUUUCCUAAUACUGAAGAAAUAAAUUCAAUUCGAGUUGUUAUCAGUAAUGGUGAUAACCUAUAUGGCCCCCUUUGGUGGAGCUUCACCUGGCUCCAUCUUCACCACUGUAGAGUAGAGGAGCCAGAGUCGGUGGAGCCACAAUUUGUGGCUUCACUGGCUCCUUGUGGUCUUGUGAGGGGGAGGAAAAGGAAAGAGAAAAUCAGCUUCAAGUUGCUACAGUAGUGAAGCCGGUUUGCAUGCACUCCGUGUGGUACAGCUCCACCUGGAGCCGCUAAUGGAGCUGUUGUUGGAGCCCUACCAAAGGGCCCCUAUGUGUCAAGAUCUUAUUUUUGGUGGUACUGGUAACUCUUGAUUUUUGGCUCAAGUCACGGCAGGGAAUCUUGAUCUUAGAAAAUAUCAAUAUACAAGAAAGUUUUGAGGUCACAUCGCUCAACAACCAAGCAGUUGGUUCUCAAUAUAACUAUAUACCAGGAGGAGGGGUAGGAUACCUGGUUGAAUAGGAACCAACGAUGGAAGAAGAAACAGUUCUGGAGGGAUGGGAUUUACGCCUGACCAUUCAAAAACUCCAAGCACCUGCAACAGUAUCAGGUGCAAUAAUCGCUCAAUGCUGCAUCAUCAGAGCCAUCAUCAGAGAAAGCCGCAGCGCAGAGCCGGGUGACGCGCACUGCUAUUUAUCCCCCGGGGAGAUCACGUGGAACCCAUGAGAGCAUUGUCAAGUUGCGCGAGGCGCCACGGAAACGCGCCUCCUGCGCAACUGCUCGCAGAGCUGUGCAGGAGGGAAGCUUGCUUAGCAGCUGAGAACCCCGGGAAAUGGCUUAUGUGUUGAGUGGCUUGUGCUGCUGGCUGCUUUGUCACAGGAACUGCAUGCGAUGCUGCUCCAGCAGCUAUGGAGGCGACAUGUGAAAGAACAGAGUGUGGGUCUGACCACUGUAUGCGAACCCCAAUUCAAUUUCAGCUUCUUGGGUUGAAGCUGCAUGCUCGUUGAUAGUGAGGUGACUUCACCAAUCUUAAAAUUUGCUAAGGCAUCAUAGGGUGCAGGCUCAUCAAUAUGCUGCAAGCAGAAUUACCGGGGCCGUUGCUUCUGCACAAGUCAACGAACAAACAAGAGCUCUGGCUAGGAAUUGGGUUCCUGCAGGUCCCAGUGAUUCACAUGCCUUGGGAUCAGGGGGCAACGAAACCCCCCGGAUGUAGGAACUGCAUGUGCUUUGGGACAAGUCGUAGAAUCAGAGCAGAGAGAACUGUGCAUAGCACCUGGAGCGGCGAUUGUCGGGCAACUCAUCAUGCCCAGCCGGACAAUCUGGUGAACCUACAAUUGAAAUGACCGUCUGACAAUCCAUACCGAAUGGCACAAAGGUGCACCAAAUUUUGCAACCGAAAUAUGGAUACGUGGGAUUAGUUUCUAAUUUCUACAAUCACUACCUGCAAAAAAAAGUACAGGGACAACAAUUCAGCUUCAUUAUGAUCAUAACAAAAGGGCAACUCCACACCGUGAAGGAUACCGACAUCUCUGAACCCAGGGAUAUGAUCAACCAGCUUAGCAAACGAUUUCGAAAUCCCAAUAAGAUUAACUGAACAAAAACAAAACAUAUAAACAUGUAUUUUGCAUGGUUUUUUUUUUCCAUAGGUGCACAAAUGCAUGGCUUCAUGUGUCGUUUUUGGCAGAAAAUUUUCACAUUAAUCUGCUCAUGACUUCAGAACGAGAAAACAUAUAGCAAAAGAUUCAUGU
Molecule: long non-coding RNA, 9633 nt
Organism: Panicum virgatum (switchgrass)
Lineage: Eukaryota; Viridiplantae; Streptophyta; Magnoliopsida; Poales; Poaceae
Exons: 7
Source: RefSeq, a predicted model, not a curated record